This 639-nucleotide ribosomal RNA is filed under the name Strongyloides stercoralis. RNAcentral describes it as "SSU rRNA". It matches the Rfam family "Eukaryotic small subunit ribosomal RNA", at positions 992 to 1650 of the family's 1831-position model. The record is from RNAcentral. Lineage: Eukaryota; Metazoa; Nematoda; Chromadorea; Rhabditida; Strongyloididae.
AGAGGUUCGAAGGCGAUCAGAUACCGCCCUAGUUCUAACCGUAAACUAUGCCUACUAGAUGUAUGAAUUAUUAGUUAUAAUAAUUUAUGCAUCUUCUCGGAAACGAAAGUCUUUCGGUUCCGGGGGAAGUAUGGUUGCAAAGCUGAAACUUAAAGGAAUUGACGGAAGGGCACCACCAGGAGUGGAGCCUGCGGCUUAAUUUGACUCAACACGGGAAAACUCACCCGGGCCGGACACUAUAAGGAUUGACAGAUUGAUAGCUCUUUCAUGAUUUAGUGGUUGGUGGUGCAUGGCCGUUCUUAGUUCGUGGAUAUGAUUUGUCUGGUUGAUUCCGAUAACGAGCGAGACUUUUAUGUUAUAUUAAAUAUUAUUAUUUUGUUUAUUUUAAUAUAAAUAAUUAAUAUUUUAAUAACAGAUUAAUAGUGUUUAACUAUUUGAGAGAGAGCGAUAACAGGUCUGUGAUGCCCUUAGAUGUCCGGGGCUGCACGCGCGCUACAAUGUAGUGAUCAUUAUGUUCCUGUUUAGAGAUAAAUGGGUAAACAUUGAAAACAUUACGUAACUGGGAGUGAAAAUUGCAAUUAUUUUUCAUGAACGAGGAAUUCCAAGUAAACGUAAGUCAUUAGCUUACAUUGAUUACGU